This 297-nucleotide ribosomal RNA is filed under the name uncultured bacterium. Its description in RNAcentral is "partial 16S ribosomal RNA". It matches the Rfam family "Bacterial small subunit ribosomal RNA", at positions 27 to 325 of the family's 1533-position model. The record is from RNAcentral.
GGACGAACGCUGGCGGCGUGCUUAACACAUGCAAGUCGAGCGGUAAGGCCCUUUCGGGGGUACACGAGCGGCGAACGGGUGAGUAACACGUGGGUGACCUGCCCUCAGCUCUGGGAUAAGCCUGGGAAACCGGGUCUAAUACCGGAUAUGACUCCAUGACGCAUGUUGUGGGGUGGAAAGCCUUGUGCGGCUGAGGAUGGGCCCGCGGCCUAUCAGCUUGUUGGUGGGGUGAUGGCCUACCAAGGCGACGACGGGUAGCCGGCCUGAGAGGGCGACCGGCCACACUGGGACUGAGAC